CCUACGGGAGGCAGCAGUGGGGAAUAUUGCACAAUGGACGAAAGUCUGAUGCAGCAACGCCGCGUGGAGGAUGACACAUUUCGGUGCGUAAACUCCUUUUAUAUAAGAAGAUAAUGACGGUAUUAUAUGAAUAAGCACCGGCUAACUACGUGCCAGCAGCCGCGGUAAU
This 169-nucleotide ribosomal RNA is filed under the name uncultured bacterium. RNAcentral describes it as "partial 16S ribosomal RNA". It matches the Rfam family "Bacterial small subunit ribosomal RNA", at positions 338 to 524 of the family's 1533-position model. The record is from RNAcentral.